AGUCAAAGCCCAGCUGGGUUUCUACUCCACAGGAUCCCUGGGGUGUGCUGCAGCACUGACCACUAGUGAUGACACUUGGUCUGACUCUUUUCUUCAUCAGCUUCAAGGCAGGUACAUAGAGGCCAACGGAAACUGCCUGCUUGAAUCACCUCAGCAGGACCUUCAGAGGAGCUCUUAGAACCAGACAGCCCAGAUGACAGCACUAAAAGGACUGGAAUACAGCUGAUGUUCACCCGGACUAUUUUCACAAGUACGAAUCUUAAAGAGCUGAUUCUUAAAUCACUGGGAUUUCUAAACAAGGAAUAAUGAAGAUUGAAGCUGAAAGUCUUUUUUGCUGCAGUUUUGCUUGCAACAAACUUAAUUUCUCACCUUGUUGCCGUACAUUCUCCCCAUGCUAAUAACUGUUUCUAGAGCUGGUUCUUAACCUGGCAUUUUUUCAAGCCCCUUCAGUUUCAGUUUAAUUCUUAUCAUUGCCACAUCUGUGCUGAUUGCAGGACGAAAUAUCUCUCAGAGAUGUGAGGUAGGGCUCUUUUGGGUGAGUAACUCUCUCUGAGACUUCCCACAGGCAUAAAAAGAGGCUGUAACUCACUUCUCUUACUCAAGAGUUUAAGGAUCGUUGCCUGACACCAUACCAACAUAGUCCAUAAGCUCAGAAGCCAAAAGCCAUAUGUUUUCAGAUAAAUUUCCCUUCUAGAAGUUGCUGGGCCAUUAAAACAAAAAGCUGGUGGUGAUAAAGGUUACAUGCAUGCCCGGAUAAAUUACUGAUGGAUCAAAGCAUCAGCAGAGAGCAAGAUUUCUUAUUUCCCAGGCCUGAGCACCACAGGUAUGCAGAGGUCUCCCUGCCCUAGCAGGGAAGAGAGGUUUAAAGCAUGAGCCAUUUGAGAUGCUUUGACCCAGGGCCCCGAAUUUAGCUCACCUUGGAGACACUCAGCUGACUGCUCGUUUUUUUCCAAAGACGUUUUACAACAGCGGUACAGAAGAAAAAAGUUGGAAAAAAAAAAAAAAACCCAUCAGAACAAUCUUCUUGGCUGGAAACUAACCUCACUUUAGCUGCAGAUCAACUACUACCUACUUAAAAUUGUUCAGCAGACGUUACCAGGGUGUUUUACUUUUUGUCAGGCUUUCAAGAUAGGCCUUCAAAAGCCUGCUUUUACCAUCAGCAGCUCACUGGUCCUGGCAGAGUGAGUUAAAUGCUGCUGCACUGCAAUCACCAGG
RNAcentral lists this long non-coding RNA (1215 nucleotides) under Gallus gallus (chicken). RNAcentral describes it as "lncRNA (ENSGALG00010006129.1)". The record is from RNAcentral. Lineage: Eukaryota; Metazoa; Chordata; Aves; Galliformes; Phasianidae.